RNAcentral lists this long non-coding RNA (618 nucleotides) under Carica papaya (papaya). Its description in RNAcentral is "long non-coding RNA (CPAP_LNC006082)". Lineage: Eukaryota; Viridiplantae; Streptophyta; Magnoliopsida; Brassicales; Caricaceae. The record is from RNAcentral.
CAGCUCAUAUAUAGCAGUGACGAACAAAAUUUCCUACAAAAGAUCAUUCAAAAUGAGUUAAACAAGAAAACCCCGUUGGCAACUGAGAAACCAUGUAAAAGAGGAAAAGAAAAUACAAAAAUCUAAGGAAUCCAUGUGCCCAUUACUUGUAAACUUUUCUAAGCAACCAAACAGAUAAAACCAGAACAUCAAGGAUAACCCAGAGCGAGAAAUAAAUGGAAAUGAGUUCACGAGGUAAAUACCCGCCCAGUAAAGAAUAAUGUUAUGGGGUUGAUAGAGAUUAUAUGAUAAAUACAUUGAGAGAAAAUGUGAGUUAGGUUCAAAGCUGGUGAGAUUUCUGAUGAACUUUCACGGGUUCAAAGCCCAAUAACACGACCCAGAAAGAAAGAGAAAAGAAAAAGAAGGAAAGAGAAUUGAAAAAAAAAAAUGGAUGAAGGUUCUGUUUGGUUUGGUGUUUGGUGAUUGAUUCAACAAAGGAAGCUGGAGAUAGAUAUGGAUUAAACGUAGAACAUCAAAAGUCAAAAAGAAAGCAGAUAUAGACAUGGAAAGAGAAAAGAGAGCGUGUUGUUCUACAGUUAGUCUGUCUGUCUACUCCUACUUCACAUGACUCCUUUUUCC